UACGAAGGUUGCGAGCGUUGUUCGGAAUCACUGGGCUUAAAGCGCAUGUAGGCGGCCCAAUAAGUGCCUUGUGAAAUCCCCCGGCUCAACCGGGGAAUGGCUUGGCAUACUGUUCGGGCUUGAGGUAGGUAGGGGCGCGUGGAACUCUUGGUGGAGCGGUGGAAUGCGUAGAUAUCAAGAGGAACGCCGGUGGCGAAAGCGACGCGCUGGGCCUGUCCUGACGCUGAGAUGCGAAAGCCAGGGGAGCAAACGGG
RNAcentral lists this ribosomal RNA (254 nucleotides) under uncultured bacterium. RNAcentral describes it as "partial 16S ribosomal RNA". It matches the Rfam family "Bacterial small subunit ribosomal RNA", at positions 524 to 776 of the family's 1533-position model. The record is from RNAcentral.